AACCUGGUUGGGUGGUCUGCCUUCACGGUACGUACUGCUUGGCCGGGUUCUACCUCUUGGUGAGCCAGCAUGCUCUUAACUGGGUGUGAUGGGAAAUCAGGACUGUUACUUUGAAAAAAUUAGAGUGUUUAAAGCAGGCUAACGUCUGAAUACAUUAGCAUGGAAUAAUGAAAUAGGACGGACUGAUUCUAUUUCGUUGGUUUCUAGGAUCACCGUA
RNAcentral lists this ribosomal RNA (217 nucleotides) under Campeiostachys nutans. RNAcentral describes it as "Elymus nutans partial small subunit ribosomal RNA". The stretch from base 90 to 217 matches the Rfam family "Eukaryotic small subunit ribosomal RNA", at positions 736 to 864 of the family's 1831-position model. The record is from RNAcentral. Lineage: Eukaryota; Viridiplantae; Streptophyta; Magnoliopsida; Poales; Poaceae.